AGAACGAACGCUGGCGGCAUGCCUAACGCAUGCAAGUCGAACGAGACCUUCGGGUCUAGUGGCGCACGGGUGCGUAACGCGUGGGAAUCUGCCCUUCGGUUCGGAAUAACUCGGAGAAAUCCGUGCUAAUACCGGAUAAUGACGUAAGUCCAAAAGAUUUAUCGCCGAGGGAUGAGCCCGCGUAGGAUUAGCUUGUUGGUGAGGUAAAGGCUCACCAAGGCGACGAUCCUUAGCUGGUCUGAGAGGAUGAUCAGCCACACUGGGACUGAGACACGGCCCAGACUCUACGGGAGGCAGCAGUGGGGAAUAUUGGACAAGUGGGACGAAAGCCUAGGAUCCAGCAAUCGCGCGUGAGUGAUAGAAGGCCGUUAAGGGUUGUAAAGCUUACGUUUUAACCCGGGUAUUGAAUAAUGAACGAAGUACCGGAGUAAUAAGCGUCCGGACUAACGUCCGUGCCACGACGACGCCGAC
Molecule: ribosomal RNA, 471 nt
Filed under: uncultured soil bacterium
Lineage: Bacteria
Description: bacterial SSU rRNA
Rfam family: Bacterial small subunit ribosomal RNA
Source: RNAcentral